This 91-nucleotide non-coding RNA is filed under the name Pseudomonas sp. 1239. The record is from RNAcentral. Lineage: Bacteria; Pseudomonadati; Pseudomonadota; Gammaproteobacteria; Pseudomonadales; Pseudomonadaceae.
GCCUAUGGCGGUUGUACGCGGGAGGCCUCGUGCCUGCCGGGUUUUGAUCUUUUUGUCCCGGUCGACCAACUCGCGUACAGCUGCCACCCAA